RNAcentral lists this ribosomal RNA (490 nucleotides) under uncultured bacterium. Its description in RNAcentral is "bacterial SSU rRNA". It matches the Rfam family "Bacterial small subunit ribosomal RNA", at positions 903 to 1397 of the family's 1533-position model. The record is from RNAcentral.
AAAGGAAUUGACGGGGGCCCGCACAAGCAGUGGAUUAUGUGGUUUAAUUCGACGCAACGCGAAGAACCUUACCAGGGCUUGACAUCCCGAUGACCGGUCUAGAGAUAGAUCUUUCACUUCGGUGACAUCGGUGACAGGUGGUGCAUGGUUGUCGUCAGCUCGUGUCGUGAGAUGUUGGGUUAAGUCCCGCAACGAGCGCAACCCCUAUUGUUAGUUGCUACGCAAGAGCACUCUAGCGAGACUGCCGUUGACAAAACGGAGGAAGGUGGGGACGACGUCAAAUCAUCAUGCCCCUUAUGUCCUGGGCUACACACGUAAUACAAUGGUCGUUAACAAAGGGAAGCAAAAUCGCGAGAUGGAGCAAAUCCCCAAAAGCGAUCUCAGUUCGGAUUGCAGGCUGCAACUCGCCUGUAUGAAGUCGGAAUUGCUAGUAAUCGUGGAUCAGCAUGCCACGGUGAAUACGUUCCCGGGCCUUGUACACACCGCCCGU